Molecule: ribosomal RNA, 445 nt
Filed under: uncultured bacterium
Lineage: Bacteria
Description: partial 16S ribosomal RNA
Rfam family: Bacterial small subunit ribosomal RNA
Source: RNAcentral
GUGAGGAAUAUUGGUCAAUGGGCGGGAGCCUGAACCAGCCAAGUCGCGUGAAGGAAGAAGGAUCUAUGGUUCGUAAACUUCUUUUGCAGGGGAAUAAAGUGCAGGACGUGUCCUGUUUUGUAUGUACCCUGAGAAUAAGGAUCGGCUAACUCCGUGCCAGCAGCCGCGGUAAUACGGAGGAUCCGAGCGUUAUCCGGAUUUAUUGGGUUUAAAGGGUGCGUAGGUGGUUUGAUAAGUCAGCGGUGAAAGUUUGCAGCUUAACUGUAAAAAUGCCGUUGAAACUGUCGGACUUGAGUGUUAAUGAGGUAGGCGGAAUGCGUGGUGUAGCGGUGAAAUGCAUAGAUAUCACGCAGAACUCCGAUUGCGAAGGCAGCUUACUAAGCUACAACUGACACUGAAGCACGAAAGCGUGGGGAUCAAACAGGAUUAGAUACCCUGGUAGUCC